This 72-nucleotide transfer RNA is filed under the name Phycisphaeraceae bacterium. RNAcentral's name for it is "tRNA-Gln". It matches the Rfam family "tRNA". Rfam says of the family: Transfer RNA (tRNA) molecules are approximately 80 nucleotides in length. Their secondary structure includes four short double-helical elements and three loops (D, anti-codon, and T loops). Lineage: Bacteria; Pseudomonadati; Planctomycetota; Phycisphaerae; Phycisphaerales; Phycisphaeraceae. RNAcentral also lists the same sequence under 1 other name. The record is from RNAcentral.
UGCCCGGUGGUGUAAUUGGCAACACACCAGAUUUUGGUUCUGGCUUUCCUGGUUCGAGUCCAGGCCGGGCAG